This 1100-nucleotide long non-coding RNA is filed under the name Zonotrichia albicollis (white-throated sparrow). RNAcentral describes it as "lncRNA (ENSZALG00000007447.1)". The record is from RNAcentral. Lineage: Eukaryota; Metazoa; Chordata; Aves; Passeriformes; Passerellidae.
CAGCACAAUAUGUCAUAGCUAGGACAGCUCAUGAGAGCUGCCAGAAUUCCCUCCAAAGGAAGAAGCCUACAAUGACCUUAUAUGGGAAGAUGGGAGAAAUCCAGAGAAAGUGAGAUUUUUAUUUAAACUGGAGAAGAACAAUGGUUCUGACACAGAAGAGAGAUGUUUCCAUUGGACAGCUGGUCUCCAGCUAUCCCAUCAGAUUCACAGGCCAGGCCCAAAGACUUGUUUGGAAUUAAUGGAAUCACAGAGUAAGCUGAGUUGGAGGGACCCUCAAGGAUCACCAGGUCCAGCUCCCAGCCCUGCACAGCAUCGUCCCCAGGAGUGACACUGCCUGCUCGAGAGUAUCCUGGCCAGCACAGCUGCAGUUCAGAUAACACUAGAAGCAAACUAUUUUGUAGCAUUUCUUGUGUAUUGUUCUAGGACCACAAUGUUGUUUGAGCCCUGUCUGCAAUGCUAAUUUCUACAGGCUGUAGAAAUCUACCAACACUGCCAAUGCUCCAGUGGAGAGAGUAAAGCCUCUCACACGUGUAGAUGGAGUUUACUACUGGGGAAGGCAUAAAUCAAUACCAAAAAAUGAUAGACUAAAGGGAAUUAUUGUGCAAUCGCCCUUCUUCAGCACUGGAGAUAUCAUUAUUGGUGGUUUUGAAAGCUCAGGUUUAUGGUACUGGCUAUAAAUGCUAUGAUCUCCAUUAAAUAUUUCAGAAGGCAUUCAACAUCAGUGAUAAAUUCAACUAGUAACUGGGGUAGUACAGCAGCAGAGUAAGAACAGGAUUUUGGCCACAAAAUCCUUCCUGGAUUAAUGCUUUCUCAAAACUGCCAGUGAACUCAGUCCUCUAAUCCUCACCCGGUGUUCCUUCACAAACCUCUGUGAACAGGAUCAAUUCAGGGUGGAUCCUCAGGUUAGCACACACCCCAUUCUUAACCAGAUGAGUUGGAAUAGACAGGAAUGAGACCAGAGGUCAGACUCUGAUCCCCAGACUUCACCCAGGCCCUGUGCAUCCAAGGGGAUACAACAGACACAACUCAACAAAAACAUGACUUCAGUAUCCAGUGCUUCUCUGUUCUGACAGGGGGAAGACCUCUUGUAAGUGCUAAGA